GGUAGGUAGCUCGCGAGGUUGAUGACCGGUUCGUAAUAACGUUUCAGGACCCGGGGGCGGUACCCGGCGCCUCCACCAUGAGCACAACGCGGUGUGCUUCUGUUGGGGGCGAAAUAGGUUCGACUGGACGGUAAAAGGACCGCGAGUUCUAUCUCGCUUCGGCGAGAGACGAUGCGACUUUCGGUAAGGACUCGACCGGCCUGACGCAGGACACCCCUGGUUCAGGCACCUGGCCAAAACUCUAAAUGCCAACGAUAACGUUGUCAUGGAUGCCCGCCUCGCGGCGUAAGCAUCUUGCGGUAGGGUAACCGUAGAAACAGAA
This 322-nucleotide transfer-messenger RNA is filed under the name Methylobacterium durans. The stretch from base 27 to 142 matches the Rfam family "Alphaproteobacteria transfer-messenger RNA", at positions 68 to 185 of the family's 355-position model. Lineage: Bacteria; Pseudomonadati; Pseudomonadota; Alphaproteobacteria; Hyphomicrobiales; Methylobacteriaceae. The record is from RNAcentral.